AAAUUUUUUAUCUUCAUCACCAUCAAAUGCAAAUAAAAAAAAAUUAUAUGUUUAUAACAUACUAUUUAAAAAAUUCAUUAGAUUCAUCACCAAUAUAAAUAAAAUACUUUUUAAAUUUUAAAAAUGUUGAAAAAAAAAUCUUUUAAAAUACUAAUUUUAAAGUGGGAUAAAAAAGAUAAUGAUGUGGUAAACUUGGUCUAGCCAGUAUUUUCCGAUAAUUCCCAUAUUGUUUCCCAACAAAUUGUAAUAAAAUCGAAUAAAAAAAUUAAAUUAAUAAAAAUAUUAUGUUUUAUCUAAAAUUAGGAAAAGAAAAUACUUCUUUGGGAAGGAAAAGGAAAAAAAAAAAAAACAAGAAAUAUUUUAAAAUAUGCCUACGCAGAUAGGAUCAGUUAGAAAAUUUAGUUAAUCAUAGAUAAAAUAUUUAACCCUGGUUACUUGUUGAACGCAUGUUGAUUUCCUAUUCAAUUUUCUCUAUGAUUUUUUUCUUAUUUUGUUCAAAAAAAUAUUUAGGAAAAAAGGAGUGAGAGAAAAGGUUGUAACAAUGGUGGAUUUGGUUGGAUUUUAAAGAGGAAGAAGAUGACCGUUCAAAAUUUUUUAGGGGGACAUUUCUGUACGAUUAUAAAAUUGACAAUUUACUUAUCUAUUAUUAAAAAAUAAACUAUUAUUUAGCGGCAACAAACCAGAGAGACAAAUAUGAAUAUCACUAAACUUUUAUAAAGACAACAUAAGAAAAUUAAAUUUUAUAAAAAAAUAUUUGUAAUUCGCUAUGUUUAACGAGAGCUGUUGUAUGUAAUUAACCCUAAAAAUAACUACUCAUGCAAAAAUGUAAACUAUAUAAUUGUUAAUACAAAC
Molecule: long non-coding RNA, 852 nt
Filed under: Ananas comosus (pineapple)
Lineage: Eukaryota; Viridiplantae; Streptophyta; Magnoliopsida; Poales; Bromeliaceae
Description: long non-coding RNA (ACOM_LNC027758)
Source: RNAcentral